AUGGACGAACGGGCAAAAUUGGUAGUUCAGACAACAACGCUGAUAGCCGUGGUUCAGACAUGCCUCAUGUUGAUCCACAAGAGAGAUGUUCGUCAUGGUGACAAGCCUGUCAUUCGUUAUGCUCCCAUGUUAACCCGAUAUCAGGAGAGGAUGGCGAAUCUGAACUACAUUUACAAUUGCAGUGACACAAAGGCUCUGUGGAUGCUAAGAAUGAAAAGAGCACCUUUCACCAGGCUUGUGCAGACCUUCAGGAGCAAGGGGCUGCUACGAGAUAGCAUCUACACUAGUGCGAAAGAGCAAGUUGCCAUGUUCCUCCAUGUUGCCGGCUAUAACCAGAGGUUCAGGUUUAUCCCCAACACGUUCAGGGGAUCAAUGAAGACCAUUUCUUGGUACUUCAGGCAAGUGUUGUAUGCUAACUCAGAGGAGAGAUGA
This 432-nucleotide ribosomal RNA is filed under the name Triticum aestivum (bread wheat). Its description in RNAcentral is "partial small subunit ribosomal RNA". Lineage: Eukaryota; Viridiplantae; Streptophyta; Magnoliopsida; Poales; Poaceae. The record is from RNAcentral.